CCAUACGAGAGAGUAGAGUGUACAUACGCAAAAUAAAACAUUUUUAAAGUAUCUAUACAUACACUAGUGCGCAAGUUACGAAUAAUGUAUGAAUAUUUGGCUAGUUUGCGACAUACAUAAUUACUAUGUGCGUUAAAUUUUAAAGCUUUAUCGAUGUAUAAGCCUAAAAACUUUACUUCAUCGGCCAACGGAACAGAUUUUGUACCAAGCUUAAUAUAGAUACUGGAUGACAUUGGGCCAUUUCUAUAUUGUACCACAAGGAAGUUGCGUCCGAAGCUUCCGCAGAAGUAGUGUGUAGGUCUUUACCUAUUGCUAUACAAGAUGUAUCAUCAGCAAAUUGACAGGCAGCGGCCCCAAUAUGGAUCCUUGAGGAACACCUUUUGAAAUGGUUAUAGGCUCGGACAACACAUUCAAGAUAGCGCCAUUACUGUUAUAAGUGAAUUGUUAUUUUUUUAGUAUUACUAUAAACAUUUGAUAAACGUAUAACUGGUAUAACCGGUUAAUAAAUUGAAAUAAUACUUAAAAUAAUGAUGUAAAAGACAUUUUUCCAAAAAAAAAAAAUGGUUUAUUCCCCGAAUUUGGAUUCUUCUGCGUCAAACAUCCAGCAUCUCGCAUCUAGAAUUCAGUUUCUGUGAAAAUGAGACAC
This is a long non-coding RNA of Tribolium castaneum (red flour beetle), 646 nucleotides long. RefSeq lists it as uncharacterized. The transcript is spliced from 3 exons. Lineage: Eukaryota; Metazoa; Arthropoda; Insecta; Coleoptera; Tenebrionidae. The record is from RefSeq and is a predicted model, not a curated record.